UUGUGUUCUACUAUAUAUCACUAGCAGGUACGAUUUUUGAUUUUCCUCACAAAACCUCAUCAAAAAAUGAUCCCCUCUCUGAAACGGCGCUGUCGAGAUCUUAUCAAGUUUCGCCCCAAUAAAGGAUCGUAUACGUUUGCAAUUCGUGUAUUUGAUUAUUUGAGUUAAGAAUAAUCCAUUCCAGCACUUUAUUUUUUUUGCCGAGCAUUAAUAAUCACCAAGACCUAUCAACUGGUUGUCUUCAAAGCAACCCUGGCCUCUGUUCACAUCUAAGACCUAUACUUUCCUUGGAUGGCUUCCCUAAUGGUAAUAAGCUAACUCAUAUUCAUCAGCUUAAGAAGAAGGAAGACAUGACCUUAAUGGUUCUUCAGAUGUCCCCUGCUGGACGCUCCUGAAGAAUUUGAGCAAAUUUAUGAACCACUUGCUCUACAUACUGUAUAUGAUCAGCAAAGAUAAAGGAGCAACACAGAUACCGCCAAUCUCACAUUGAAGUGUGGGGUUUGCCAGAUUGGU
RNAcentral lists this long non-coding RNA (513 nucleotides) under Helianthus annuus (common sunflower). RNAcentral describes it as "hypothetical non coding rna". The record is from RNAcentral. Lineage: Eukaryota; Viridiplantae; Streptophyta; Magnoliopsida; Asterales; Asteraceae.